CCUACGGGUGGCAGCAGUGAGGAAUAUUGGUCAAUGGACGAGAGUCUGAACCAGCCAAGUAGCGUGAAGGAUGACUGCCCUACGGGUUGUAAACUUCUUUUAUAUGGGAAUAAAAUGAUCCACGUGUGGGAUUUUGUAUGUACCUUAUGAAUAAGGAUCGGCUAACUCCGUGCCAGCAGCCGCGGUAAUACGGAGGAUCCGAGCGUUAUCCGGAUUUAUUGGGUUUAAAGGGUGCGUAGGCGGAUUUUUAAGUCAGCGGUAAAAUGUCCGGGCUCAACCCGGGCCGGCCGUUGAAACUGGGGGUCUUGAGUGGGCGAGAGGUAUGCGGAAUGCGUGGUGUAGCGGUGAAAUGCAUAGAUAUCACGCAGAACUCCGAUUGCGAAGGCAGCAUAC
RNAcentral lists this ribosomal RNA (393 nucleotides) under uncultured bacterium. Its description in RNAcentral is "partial 16S ribosomal RNA". It matches the Rfam family "Bacterial small subunit ribosomal RNA", at positions 338 to 729 of the family's 1533-position model. The record is from RNAcentral.